GACGAUUGACUCAUGUUGCCUUGGCGGGCUCCUCCCGCCAGAGGAUACAUCAAAACUCCUGUUUUAACGGUGUUGUCUGAGCUACAAGCAACGAAUCAAAACUUUCAACAACGGAUCUCUUGGUUCUGGCAUCGAUGAAGAACGCAGCGAAAUGCGAUAAGUAGUGUGAAUUGCAGAAUUCAGUGAAUCAUCGAAUCUUUGAACGCACAUUGCGCCCCUUGGUAUCCCGAGGGGCAUGCCUGUUCGAGCGUCAUUUCACCACUCAAGCCUGGCUUGGUGUUGGGCGACGUCCCCCUUUAGGGACGCGCCUCGAAACGCUCGGCGGCGUGGCACCGGCUUUAAGCGUAGCAGAAUCUUUCGCUUUGAAAGUCGGGGCCCCGUCUGCCGGAAGACCUACUCACAAGGUUGACCUCGGAUCAGGUAGGGAUACCCGCUGAACUUAAGCAUAUCAAUAAGCGGAGGAAAAGAAACCAACAGGGAUUGCCUCAGUAACGGCGAGUGAAGCGGCAACAGCUCAAAUUUGAAAUCUGGCUCUUUUAGGGUCCGAGUUGUAAUUUGUAGAGGAUGCUUCGGCGGCGGCUCCGGUCUAAGUUCCUUGGAACAGGACGUCAUAGAGGGUGAGAAUCCCGUAUGUGAUCGGUUGCCUUUGCCAUGUGAAGCUCCUUCGACGAGUCGAGUUGUUUGGGAAUGCAGCUCU
Molecule: ribosomal RNA, 697 nt
Filed under: uncultured fungus
Lineage: Eukaryota; Fungi
Description: eukaryotic LSU rRNA
Rfam family: Eukaryotic large subunit ribosomal RNA (bases 407-697)
Source: RNAcentral